AUUGAACGCUGGCGGCAUGCUUUACACAUGCAAGUCGAACGGUAACAUGCCGCAAGGUGCCGACGAGGGGCGAACGGGGGCGUAAUGCAUCGUAACGUGCCCAGUCGUUGUGGAUAACUGCUCGUAAGAGUAGCUAAUAUCUCAUACGACCUAAUUCUGAAAGCUGGGGACCGUAAGGCCUAGCGCGAGUGGAUGGGCCGGUGUCAGACUAGCUAGGUGGUGGGGGAUAGCCCGACCAAGCCGACGAUCUGUAGCUGGGCUGAGAGGACAACCAGCCACACUGGGAGUGAGACACAGCCCAGACUCCUACACGAGGCAGCAGUGGGUAAUAUUGGACAAUGGGCGAAAGCCUGAACCACCAAUGCCGCGUGAGUGAUGAAGGCCUUAGAGUAGUAAAGCGCGUUGACCCGGGAUGAUAAUGACAGUACCGGAAGAAUAAGCUCCGGCUAACUCCGUG
RNAcentral lists this ribosomal RNA (457 nucleotides) under uncultured bacterium. Its description in RNAcentral is "partial 16S ribosomal RNA". It matches the Rfam family "Bacterial small subunit ribosomal RNA", at positions 30 to 507 of the family's 1533-position model. The record is from RNAcentral.